This 1233-nucleotide ribosomal RNA is filed under the name Triticum aestivum (bread wheat). Its description in RNAcentral is "partial small subunit ribosomal RNA". Lineage: Eukaryota; Viridiplantae; Streptophyta; Magnoliopsida; Poales; Poaceae. The record is from RNAcentral.
AUGUCCGCGACCACGGCCGAGGCCGUGCGCCGGCUCUGCGCCGCCGGCGAGCUGCGGUCAGCGCUAGCGCAUCUCGCCCGCGGCGCGAAGGCGGGCGACGGGGCGCUGGACGUGGCCGCCUGCACGGCGCUCGUCCACGCCUGCUGCAGGACCGGCGACCUGGCGGAGGCGCGGAGGGUGUUCGGCGCAAUGCCGCGCCUGGGGCUGGCCCCGAACGAGGUCACCUUCACCGCCCUCAUCCACGGCCACUUCGUCCGCGGGCGCAGGGACGAGGGCUUCGCCCUGUUCGACGAGAUGAGGAGGGGCGGGGUCGAGCCGAACAUCUACACCUACAACGUGCUGAUCGGGGAGUGGUGCAGGACGGGGGAGUUCGAGGGCGCCCGCCGCCUGUUCGACGAAAUGCCCGCGAAGGGCGUCGCGCGGAACGCCGUCAGCUACAACACGCUGAUCGCGGGGCUGUGCAGGCACGGCAGGAUGAAGGACGCCGCCUGGCUGCUGGAGACGAUGCGGAAGGAGGGCAUCCGCCCGAGCAUCGUGACGUUCAACCUCCUCGUCGACGGGUAUGGCAAGGCUGGGCAGAUGUCCAACGCCUUGCAUUUCUCCAACCAAAUAAGGGCCGCUGGGCACCAGCCCAACGCUCUGACGCACAAUGCGCUCAUUGCGGGGUUCUGCCGUGCUAGAGAUAUUGCCCGUGCAAACAGGGCGUUCUCUGACAUGAAGGAGCGAGGACUGACACCCACAAAUGGGACCUACACCAUACUGAUUGAUGCAUUGGCCCGGGGCGGUGACAUGGACAAAGCUUUUGAGAUGUUUGCGGACAUGGGGAAGGCUGGUUUGGAGGUGGAUGUGCGCGCUUACGGUGUUUUGGUGCAUGCUCUCUGCAUGGAAGGGAACAUGAAAGACGCCAGGAAGCUGUUCCAGUCGAUGGAGGAGAAAGGCGUUAAGGCGAAUGGUGUGAUCUAUGACAUGAUGAUUUUUGGCUAUGGACGAGAAGGGAACUCCUACAAGGCUAUGAAAUUAAUCACGGAGAUGAGGAAGAAUGGCUUGGUUCCAAAUUUCGCUAGCUAUGGCCUGACGAUCCGUAGUCUUUGUAAUGAUGGUAAAUGUCCGGAAGCUGAAGCUCUUAUCAAGGACAUGGUGCAGGCUGGUCUACAACCAAACGAAUCGCUCUCCCAAGCACUACUGCAUGCCAAGGCAAGACAGGGAAGCUCGACCAGUAACUUUUUUACCUAG